AACGAACGCUGGCGGCAUGCCUAACACAUGCAAGUCGAACGAGACCUUCGGGUCUAGUGGCGCACGGGUGCGUAACGCGUGGGAACCUGCCUUUAGGUUCGGAAUAACUCAGAGAAAUUUGAGCUAAUACCGGAUGAUGUCUUCGGACCAAAGAUUUAUCGCCUUUAGAUGGGCCCGCGUUGGAUUAGCUAGUUGGUGGGUAAAGGCCUACCAAGGCGACGAUCCAUAGCUGGUCUGAGAGGAUGAUCAGCCACACUGGGACUGAGACACGGCCCAGACUCCUACGGGAGGCAGCAGUGGGGAAUAUUGGACAAUGGGCGAAAGCCUGAUCCAGCAAUGCCGCGUGAGUGAUGAAGGCCUUAGGGUUGUAAAGCUCUUUUACCAGGGAUGAUAAUGACAGUACCUGGAGAAUAAGCUCCGGCUAACUCCGUGCCAGCAG
Molecule: ribosomal RNA, 439 nt
Filed under: uncultured bacterium
Lineage: Bacteria
Description: bacterial SSU rRNA
Rfam family: Bacterial small subunit ribosomal RNA
Source: RNAcentral